UACAGAGGUGGCAAGCGUUGUUCGGAAUGAUUGGGCGUAAAGGGUCCGCAGGUGGCAGUGUAAGUCUGCUGUCAAAGAAUGAGGCUUAACCUCAUCAAGGCAGUGGAAACUACACAGCUAGAGUACGGUCGGGGUAGAAGGAAUUCCUGGUGUAGCGGUGAAAUGCGUAGAUAUCUGGAAGAACACCAGUGGCGAAGGCGCUCUACUGGGCCGUAACUGACACUGAGGGACGAAAGCUAGGGGAGCGAAAGGG
RNAcentral lists this ribosomal RNA (253 nucleotides) under uncultured bacterium. RNAcentral's name for it is "partial 16S ribosomal RNA". It matches the Rfam family "Bacterial small subunit ribosomal RNA", at positions 524 to 776 of the family's 1533-position model. The record is from RNAcentral.